Long non-coding RNA from Gallus gallus (chicken), 1537 nucleotides. Lineage: Eukaryota; Metazoa; Chordata; Aves; Galliformes; Phasianidae. The record is from Ensembl.
AGAGCAGGCACACGCAGACGCAGGGCUUACCUGCCACAGGCUUUCUCAGUUUCAAUUACAAAGAUCAUAAGUGCGAUAAGUGGUCAGUUACCAGAACAACAGCAGAAAGGAAGUGGGGGAAGGAGAUAGGACUGGCUCCUGCAGAAGAGCACAGCACCACAUGUUAUGCUUCAAAAGGAUGUCAUAAACUGUUAAGAGAGGGGAAACAGCAGCUACCCUUGCCAGUUUCAUCUAUCUCAGCAUACACAAGAAAACCUUGUGAAUCUUGCUAUGAAAAUUAUCAACAAAGAAGAAACAGGCUUCCAUCAUGCACCAAAACUUGGAGGGAUGAGCUUAUACCAUCCUGACCAUCUGACUGAAAUUGAAAACUUUUCCUCUUCCAUUAAUAGCUUUUCCAAUUCAGCAGUUCAAAGCUGCAAUCCCUCACAGCCUAUGCAAGGAUUUGGGAUCAUUUUAUAAAUCUGUGUGGCAAAUGAACAUGAAAGAGAAGCUCUCCUUAUGGCUGGGAACUAUCCUUUCGGGGGAAAAAUGUUAUUAGCUUUUUAGAGAGCAUUUGCAAGGGUAAUUUGCACUACAGCAUCUCUUUUUAUUGGCCUUGCAAGCAAGCGUUGAAACAAUUUGUUUUAUCAUAUGCGUUCACUUUGAAUAUAGACCUCAUGUGAAAUGCUUUACUUGAAACAGGGAACAAUGAGUUUGAAAAACAAAACUAAAAAAGGUUUGGAGUAUGGCAGUAAUUCAUUUCAAAUAAAGAAAUAUUGAAAGUGGAAGGGAAAAGGAAAAAGGAAAGAUAAAUGAGAACGGAAAGGAAAAGCUUCUGAUUAAGUCUGUCAUAACUUAAGGCAGCUAUGCCAAAGCUCCCGGUUUGGUCCAACAAUUUCACAGGUAUUAUAACAGGAGGGUAAAUCACUACUCCUGGACAUCAUUUGUAUUUCAUUACUUCUUAAGAGUCCUCAGGCAAAACCAGAGCCCUACCACGUGAGAGUCUGCACACGCAGUAAAGAAACACCACCACCCAUGGACAGCUGACAACAUUCAGCUGUAAAUCAGGAUUAUCAUCACCAGUAAAGGCCAGUAGCAUAGGGUAGAGGGUUUGAUUUAAGAAGCACAGAAAUAGGUCGAAAUCUUCCACUGUGUUUUGACUCAUGAAAAAGCACCCAGAUAGUGCCUGAAAAAAAUGAGCUGUUCUCUUCCACUGAAACCUCCAAGUCGUACCACCUUGCUCUGCGAGGCAGUUCUUCAACACAGAUGACUCCAAGCAAAGGGAACUGAUCUUUUUGAUGCUGUGGUACAACGGAACGCAGACUGAGGAUCACUAAUUCUGACAGCGGCAUUUCACUCUGCUGGGGCAAACAACUUCCAUUUUUUAAGGAGGAAAAAAUUAUUCUGCAGACAACUAGGACGCAAUACUACAUUUGCAGUGAAAUUACAUAUCAUUUGAACUGGAAAACCAGGGAAAAUACUUCCUUCCAAAUAAAAUCAGUAACAAAAAAGUCUGUGGAAGUGUAACAAGGAAUAAUAAAAUCAAAGGUCACAUGUU